UAAAGAAUAAAAGUCGUAACAAGGUCUCCGUUGGUGAACCAGCGAGGAUCAUUA
Molecule: ribosomal RNA, 54 nt
Filed under: Cordyceps pruinosa
Lineage: Eukaryota; Fungi; Ascomycota; Sordariomycetes; Hypocreales; Cordycipitaceae
Description: partial 18S ribosomal RNA
Source: RNAcentral